UAGGGGAGCGAACGGGAUUAGAUACCCCGGUAGUCCUAGCUGUAAACGAUGGAUGCUGGGUCUGGGGGGUGUAAAUUCCCUCUGUGCCGAAGCAAACGCGUUAAGCAUCCCGCCUGGGGACUACGGCCGCAAGGCUAAAACUCAAACGAAUUGACGGGGGCCCGCACAAGCAGCGGAGCGUGUGGUUUAAUUCGAUGCUACACGAAGAACCUUACCUGGGUUUGACAUGCACGUGGUAGGGAACCGAAAGGGGACCGACCUUCGGGAGCGUGCACAGGUGCUGCAUGGCUGUCGUCAGCUCGUGCCGUGAGGUGUCGGGUUAAGUCCCGUAACGAGCGCAACCCUUGCCCUUAGUUACAAGUGUCUAAGGGGACUGCCCGGGACAACUGGGAGGAAGGUGGGGAUGACGUCAAGUCAGCAUGGCCUUUAUAUCCAGGGCUACACACACGCUACAAUGGCCGGUACAAUAGGUUGCGAGGUCGUGAGGCGGAGCCAAUCCUCAAAGCCGGUCUCAGUUCGAAUUGCAGUCUGCAACUCGACUGCAUGAAGCUGGAGUUGCUAGUAAUCGCAGGUCAGCUGUACUGCAGUGCAUACGUUCCCGGGCCUUGUACACACCGCCCGUCACGUCAUGGAA
This 634-nucleotide ribosomal RNA is filed under the name uncultured organism. Its description in RNAcentral is "bacterial SSU rRNA". It matches the Rfam family "Bacterial small subunit ribosomal RNA", at positions 761 to 1409 of the family's 1533-position model. The record is from RNAcentral.